CCACUGAGCCCCAAUCCCAGCCCCCCUACAGGGCCUGGUGACCGGGGAUAACUAUCCUGACAGAAAGGACAAGGUCUCUGCAUGAGGUAAGGCUACUUAGGAGAAGUCUAGUCGUAACUGACAAACUGUGUUUCCAUAAGGAGGGGAAGGAACAUUGCUGAUUCUGUCAUGAUGUGAUGGGCAGGGGAGAGAGGGGAGAAGGAAAAAUUAGUCAAGCUGGGAAUUCAGCCCUGCUAGUUGGGGCUGGGGUCUUCCCCAGCCUCAGAGAGCCACAGAAGUGCCGGACAAUCACCAGUCACUGUCCAGGUCUCAUCAGCCAUUUCACAUGAUUGUCACUAACUUUUGAGUCAUGGUUUUGAUCCUAUCUGAGCCCCCAGUUCUGUUACUGUUUGGGAUGCUGGGUUCGUUGUCUCUGUUCAGCAAGCAAUUGAAGAACUGGACACGGAGCCAGCCAGCAAGCAGCAGGUUAUUGUAAAAGGGACAGAGAGAGACUUUGAAGAGAAGGGGCUCCAGAGCUGGGAGUCUAGUGGGGGAAUUCUGGCCUCUUCUUUUUAUGGCUUUGGAAUUUCCUCCUUUCCUGUCUCCUUCCUGUCCACCUCACUCCCAUUCAUCGGUGUCCCCUGUGACCAUGCUACUAUCUUAGUGUUUUUAUUAGCACCCCUGCAUAGGGCACGAGUACGGAGGUGUCUGUCUGAUUGGGUCCCUGCUUGUGUCCGCGAGCACUUUCGCCCAGCUGGAGGUUGACCUCAUCAGAAGACCCUCUCCAUGCUCCUUUGUUCUGGCCUGGCCCCCCACUUCCUGGCUUGCUGUCCUGCCCUAGCCGCCUACGCCCUUCCCAUCCCCCUCAUUUCUAUGAGACUAGGUGGCUCGGGUCUUGACGGGAGUGGGGGUUACCCAGUGUAUACUUUUGCCAAUGCAUUCAGACCCCUAGGUUCCAGCCAAAUACUUCAUUACCUGCACAUCACUGUGUCUCAACCGUGCGUAGAGUAGAUGUUUAAAACAGGUGAUUUAACAUUGCAAAC
This 1022-nucleotide long non-coding RNA is filed under the name Marmota monax (woodchuck). The record is from RNAcentral. Lineage: Eukaryota; Metazoa; Chordata; Mammalia; Rodentia; Sciuridae.